GGGUUGUGAGGUUAAGCGACUAAGCGUACACGGUGGAUGCCUAGGCAAUCAGAGGCGAUGAAGGACGUGCUAAUCUGCGAUAAGCGUCGGUAAGGUGAUAUGAACCGUUACAACCGACGAUUUCCGAAUGGGGAAACCCAGUGCAAUUCGUUGCACUAUCGUUUGAUGAAUACAUAGUCAAACGAAGCGAACCGGGGGAACUGAAACAUCUCAGUACCCCGAGGAAAAGAAAUCAACCGAGAUUCCCCUAGUAGCGGCGAGCGAACGGGGAGCAGCCCAGAGUCUUAAUCAGCAUUAGCAUCAGGAGAACGGUCUGGAAAGUCCGGCAGUAAAGGGUGAUAGCCCCGUAUCCGAAGGUGUUAGUGUUGUGAACUCGACGAGUAGGGCGGGACACGUGUUAUCCUGUCUGAAUAUGGGGGGACCAUCCUCCAAGGCUAAAUACUCCUGAUUGACCGAUAGUGAACCAGUACCGUGAGGGAAAGGCGAAAAGAACCCCGGCGAGGGGAGUGAAAUAGAACCUGAAACCGUGUACGUACAAGCAGUGGGAGCCUUGAUUUAUCAGGGUGACUGCGUACCUUUUGUAUAAUGGGUCAGCGACUUAUAUUCUGUAGCAAGGUUAACCGUAUAGGGGAGCCGUAGGGAAACCGAGUCUUAACUGGGCGAAUAAGUUGCAGGGUAUAGACCCGAAACCCGGUGAUCUAGCCAUGGGCAGGUUGAAGGUUGGGUAACACUAACUGGAGGACCGAACCGACUAAUGUUGAAAAAUUAGCGGAUGACUUGUGGCUGGGGGUGAAAGGCCAAUCAAACCGGGAGAUAGCUGGUUCUCCCCGAAAGCUAUUUAGGUAGCGCCUCGUGAACUCAUCUUCGGGGGUAGAGCACUGUUUCGACUAGGGGGUCAUCCCGACUUACCAACUCGAUGCAAACUACGAAUACCGAAGAAUGUUAUCACGGGAGACACACGGCGGGUGCUAACGUUCGUCGUGAAGAGGGAAACAACCCAGACCGCCAGCUAAGGUCCCAAAGUCAUAGUUAAGUGGGAAACGAAGUGGGAAGGCUCAGACAGCCAGGAUGUUGGCUUAGAAGCAGCCAUCAUUUAAAGAAAGCGUAAUAGCUCACUGGUCGAGUCGGCCUGCGCGGAAGAUGUAACGGGGCUAAACUAUGCACCGAAGCUGCGGCAGCGAUAUUUAGAUAUUGUUGGGUAGGGGAGCGUUCUGUAAGCCUGUGAAGGUGUACUGUGAGGUAUGCUGGAGGUAUCAGAAGUGCGAAUGCUGACAUAAGUAACGAUAAUGCGGGUGAAAAACCCGCACGCCGGAAGACCAAGGGUUCCUGUCCAACGUUAAUCGGGGCAGGGUGAGUCGACCCCUAAGGCGAGGCAGAAAUGCGUAGUCGAUGGGAAACGGGUUAAUAUUCCCGUACUGGUGAUAAUUGCGAUGGGGGGACGGAGAAGGCUAGGCUAUCCGGGCGACGGUUGUCCCGGUUUAAGAAUGUAGGCAGGUGAAUUAGGCAAAUCCGGUUCACUAUAUGCUGAGGUUCGAUGACGAGUCACUACGGUGAUGAAGUAGCUCAUGCCCCGCUUCCAGGAAAAGCCUCUAAGCUCUAGAUUAUCAUUAAUCGUACCCCAAACCGACACAGGUGGUCAGGUAGAGAAUACUCAGGCGCUUGAGAGAACUCGGGUGAAGGAACUAGGCAAAAUGGUGCCGUAACUUCGGGAGAAGGCACGCUGGCGCUAGGUGAAGUCCCUCGCGGAUGGAGCUGAAGCCAGUCGCAGAUACCAGCUGGCUGCAACUGUUUAUUAAAAACACAGCACUGUGCAAACACGAAAGUGGACGUAUACGGUGUGACGCCUGCCCGGUGCUGGAAGGUUAAUUGAUGGGGUUAUCCGUAAGGAGAAGCUCUUGAUCGAAGCCCCAGUAAACGGCGGCCGUAACUAUAACGGUCCUAAGGUAGCGAAAUUCCUUGUCGGGUAAGUUCCGACCUGCACGAAUGGCGUAAUGAUGGCCAGGCUGUCUCCACCCGAGACUCAGUGAAAUUGAACUCGCUGUGAAGAUGCAGUGUACCCGCGGCAAGACGGAAAGACCCCGUGAACCUUUACUAUAGCUUGACACUGAACAUUGAGCCUUGAUGUGUAGGAUAGGUGGGAGGCUUCGAAGCGUGGACGCCAGUCUGCGUGGAGCCAACCUUGAAAUACCACCCUUUAAUGUUUGAUGUUCUAACGUUGCCCCAUUAUCUGGGGUGCGGACAGUGUCUGGUGGGUAGUUUGACUGGGGCGGUCUCCUCCCAAAGAGUAACGGAGGAGCACGAAGGUUGGCUAAGCAUGGUCGGACAUCAUGCGGUUAGUGCAAAGGCAUAAGCCAGCUUGACUGCGAGAGUGACGGCUCGAGCAGGUACGAAAGUAGGUCUUAGUGAUCCGGUGGUUCUGAAUGGAAGGGCCAUCGCUCAACGGAUAAAAGGUACUCCGGGGAUAACAGGCUGAUACCGCCCAAGAGUUCAUAUCGACGGCGGUGUUUGGCACCUCGAUGUCGGCUCAUCACAUCCUGGGGCUGAAGUAGGUCCCAAGGGUACGGCUGUUCGCCGUUUAAAGUGGUACGCGAGCUGGGUUUAGAACGUCGUGAGACAGUUCGGUCCCUAUCUGCCGUGGGCGUUGGAAGAUUGAAAGGGGCUGCUCCUAGUACGAGAGGACCGGAGUGGACGCACCACUGGUGUUCGGGUUGUCAUGCCAAUGGCAUUGCCCGGUAGCUAAGUGCGGAAGAGAUAACCGCUGAAAGCAUCUAAGCGGGAAACUUGCCUUGAGAUGAGUCUUCCCUGACCCUUUAAGGGUCCUAAAGGAACGUUUAAGACUAAGACGUUGAUAGGUUGGGUGUGUAAGCAUAGCGAUAUGUUGAGCUAACCAAUACUAAUGAACCGUGAGGCUUAACCUGACAACACCGAAGGUGUUUUAG
Molecule: ribosomal RNA, 2939 nt
Filed under: Providencia rettgeri
Lineage: Bacteria; Pseudomonadati; Pseudomonadota; Gammaproteobacteria; Enterobacterales; Morganellaceae
Description: 23S ribosomal RNA
Rfam family: Bacterial large subunit ribosomal RNA
Source: RNAcentral